Artibeus jamaicensis (Jamaican fruit-eating bat) is the source of this 80-nucleotide small nucleolar RNA. RefSeq annotates it as small nucleolar RNA SNORD111. NCBI's taxonomy places the organism in Eukaryota, Metazoa, Chordata, Mammalia, Chiroptera, Phyllostomidae. The transcript has a single exon. The record is from RefSeq and is a predicted model, not a curated record.
CAGCCUGAAGUGAUGAUUCACAUUCAUGUCUCUUCUCUGACAAAGCUCUUGAAGAAAAUUUUGUGUAUCUGAUCGGGCCU